RNAcentral lists this ribosomal RNA (1051 nucleotides) under uncultured euryarchaeote. Its description in RNAcentral is "bacterial SSU rRNA". It matches the Rfam family "Archaeal small subunit ribosomal RNA", at positions 1 to 1053 of the family's 1478-position model. Lineage: Archaea; Methanobacteriati; Methanobacteriota. The record is from RNAcentral.
UCUGGUUGAUCCUGCCAGAGGUUACUGCUAUCGGUGUUCGCCUAAGCCAUGCGAGUCAUAUGUUCUUCGUGAACAUGGCGUACUGCUCAGUAACACGUGGAUAACCUGCCCUUGGGACCGGGAUAACCCCGGGAAACUGGGGAUAAUACCGGAUAACGCAUAUCUGCUGGAAUGCUUUAUGCGUAAAAUGGAUUUGUCUGCCCAAGGAUGGGUCUGCGGCCUAUCAGGUAGUAGUGGGUGUAAUGUACCUACUAGCCUACGACGGGUACGGGUUGUGAGAGCAAGAGCCCGGAGAUGGAUUCUGAGACAUGAAUCCAGGCCCUACGGGGCGCAGCAGGCGCGAAAACUUUACAAUGCGGGAAACCGUGAUAAGGGGACACCGAGUGCCAGCAUCAUAUGUUGGCUGUCCAGAUGUGUAAAAUACAUCUGUUAGCAAGGGCCGGGCAAGACCGGUGCCAGCCGCCGCGGUAACACCGGCGGCCCGAGUGGUGAUCGUGAUUAUUGGGUCUAAAGGGUCCGUAGCCGGUUUGGUCAGUCCUCCGGGAAAUCUGACGGCUCAACCGUUAGGCUUUCGGUGGAUACUGCCAGACUUGGAACCGGGAGAGGUAAGAGGUACUACAGGGGUAGGAGUGAAAUCUUGUAAUCCCUGUGAGACCACCUGUGGCGAAGGCGUCUUACCAGAACGGGUUCGACGGUGAGGGACGAAAGCUGGGGGCACGAACCGGAUUAGAUACCCGGGUAGUCCCAGCCGUAAACGAUGCUCGCUAGGUGUCAGGCAUGGCGCGACCGUGUCUGGUGCCGCAGGGAAGCCGUGAAGCGAGCCACCUGGGAAGUACGGCCGCAAGGCUGAAACUUAAAGGAAUUGGCGGGGGAGCACAACAACGGGUGGAGCCUGCGGUUUAAUUGGACUCAACGCCGGACAACUCACCGGGGACGACAGCAAUAUGUAGGCCAGGCUAAAGACCUUGCCUGAAUCGCUGAGAGGAGGUGCAUGGCCGUCGCCAGUUCGUACUGUGAAGCAUCCUGUUAAGUCAGGCAACGAGCGAGACCC